GCACAGCCGGUAUGCACGGCAUACGAAUUUUUGCGCGGUUUAUCCCCGCUGGCGCGGGGAACACUAGCUGUUCUAAUCGGGAGCCGUGCGCC
This 92-nucleotide transfer RNA is filed under the name Atlantibacter hermannii. RNAcentral's name for it is "tRNA-Ala(tgc)". Lineage: Bacteria; Pseudomonadati; Pseudomonadota; Gammaproteobacteria; Enterobacterales; Enterobacteriaceae. The record is from RNAcentral.